UACCCGUCUUGAAACACGGACCAAGGAGUCUAACAUGCGCGCGAGUCGUUGGGUCGGACACGCUCCGCUAAACCCAUAGGCGCAAUGAAAGUGAAGGUCGCCCUCGCGGGACCGAGGGAGGACGGAGGCGCUUCUUCGGCGGCGCCUCCCGCACUCCCGGGGCGUCUGAUUCCUCUCACUGAGGGAAGGCGCACCCAGAGCGCACACGUUGGGACCCGAAAGAUGGUGAACUAU
RNAcentral lists this ribosomal RNA (234 nucleotides) under Hadrothemis defecta. RNAcentral's name for it is "partial 28S ribosomal RNA". It matches the Rfam family "Eukaryotic large subunit ribosomal RNA", at positions 646 to 834 of the family's 3401-position model. The record is from RNAcentral. Lineage: Eukaryota; Metazoa; Arthropoda; Insecta; Odonata; Libellulidae.